This 448-nucleotide long non-coding RNA is filed under the name Panax ginseng (ginseng). RNAcentral's name for it is "long non-coding RNA (PGIN_LNC004774)". The record is from RNAcentral. Lineage: Eukaryota; Viridiplantae; Streptophyta; Magnoliopsida; Apiales; Araliaceae.
GCAAUAUCAAUGUUGUUUGGAGGAUUUUUUCUAGCAUCUUCGGUUGAUUGAAAAGUUUUGAAUAAUUUGUAAAGCUUACACCUCUGCCCUUUAUUCCUAUCCUUCAUUAUUCCAAGUACAACACGCUUCACAUGAGGUUUAGAAAGGUCGAUAUCGAAGCGAGCCUAAAAAAGAAAAUCCAGCAACAUUAACUAGUUCAUGAGAAAAAAUAGCAAAAUUAUCCUAUUAAACUCUAAUCCAUGAAUUCAACUGCUACUUGCACCUUUUAUCUAAUAAAUCAUGUAUCCUAAUGAGUGUCAUUCUCCAUGGAUUUAUAGACAAGGCAUAAAACAAAUACUAAUUGCCAAAAAGGACAAAUGCAAACUCAACUAUGAAUAACAAAAUUGGUAUAAUUUAAUAUUAUGCAUCUUACUUCAACCCUUGACAAUGAUUCUUCAAUUACUCCCUC